This 251-nucleotide unclassified non-coding RNA is filed under the name uncultured Diaporthales. RNAcentral describes it as "sequence contains 5.8S rRNA gene, ITS2, 28S rRNA gene". The stretch from base 1 to 52 matches the Rfam family "5.8S ribosomal RNA", at positions 103 to 154 of the family's 154-position model. The record is from RNAcentral. Lineage: Eukaryota; Fungi; Ascomycota; Sordariomycetes; Diaporthales.
AACGCACAUUGCGCCCCUUGGUAUUCCGAGGGGCAUGCCUGUUCGAGCGUCAUUUCAACCCUCAAGCCUGGCUUGGUGUUGGGGCACUGCCCGUCAUACGGCAGGCCCUGAAAUUCAGUGGCGAGCUCGCCAGGAUCCCGAGCGCAGUAGUUUACACCCUCGCUUAGGAGGUCCUGGCGGUGCCCUGCCGUUAAACCCCCAACUUCUGAAAAUUUGACCUCGGAUCAGGUAGGAAUACCCGCUGAACUUAA